This 19-nucleotide small nuclear RNA is filed under the name Arabidopsis thaliana (thale cress). RNAcentral's name for it is "snRNA_03766". The record is from RNAcentral. Lineage: Eukaryota; Viridiplantae; Streptophyta; Magnoliopsida; Brassicales; Brassicaceae.
AAGCUGAAGAAGUUUUCUG